Molecule: long non-coding RNA, 307 nt
Filed under: Homo sapiens (human)
Lineage: Eukaryota; Metazoa; Chordata; Mammalia; Primates; Hominidae
Description: HSALNT0120884
Source: RNAcentral
CUCUGAAUUCCUGUUUUUAUAGCAGAUAAUUUUGAGAAAAUUUUGCCUUGAAAAAGAGUCUGAAACCAAAAAGCUAAACAGAGGCAAAGGGGACUCAUUCACACAGAAAGGAAGAUGACAGACAAUUGGCCAGAACAUAGAGCACUGAAGUGAAACACAAAGGCCACUCUUGGGCCUCUGUUAGUUUCUUCUGGGAUCUUUCUUCUUGAUCUGCAGAUGAGUGUUUUCUCCCUGUGUCUUCACAUGAUCUUUCCUCUGUGCCUGUUGUGUCCUAAUCUCCUUUUCAUAUAAAUUCACAAUUGAGCAC